RNAcentral lists this ribosomal RNA (311 nucleotides) under uncultured Aquimarina sp. RNAcentral's name for it is "bacterial SSU rRNA". It matches the Rfam family "Bacterial small subunit ribosomal RNA", at positions 28 to 334 of the family's 1533-position model. The record is from RNAcentral. Lineage: Bacteria; Pseudomonadati; Bacteroidota; Flavobacteriia; Flavobacteriales; Flavobacteriaceae.
GAUGAACGCUAGCGGCAGGCUUAACACAUGCAAGUCGAGGGGUAACAGGUUGUGCUUGCACAAUGCUGACGACCGGCGCACGGGUGCGUAACGCGUAUAGAACCUACCUUUAACUGGGGGAUAGCCCAGAGAAAUUUGGAUUAAUACUCCAUGGUAUCGAUGGAUGGCAUCAUUUAUUGAUUAAAGAUUUAUUGGUUAGAGAUGGCUAUGCGUUCUAUUAGCUAGUUGGUAUGGUAACGGCAUACCAAGGCUACGAUAGAUAGGGGUCCUGAGAGGGAGAUCCCCCACACUGGUACUGAGACACGGACCAG